Molecule: ribosomal RNA, 1556 nt
Filed under: metagenome
Description: bacterial LSU rRNA
Rfam family: Bacterial large subunit ribosomal RNA
Source: RNAcentral
UUCCUAAGGCGAGGCUGAAAAGCGUAGUCGAUGGGAAACAGGUUAAUAUUCCUGUACUUCUGGUUACUGCGAUGGAGGGACGGAGAAGGCUAGGCCAGCUUGGCGUUGGUUGUCCAAGUUUAAGGUGGUAGGCUGAAAUCUUAGGUAAAUCCGGGGUUUCAAGGCCGAGAGCUGAUGACGAGUCGUCUUUUAGAUGACGAAGUGGUUGAUGCCAUGCUUCCAAGAAAAGCUUCUAAGCUUCAGGUAACCAGGAACCGUACCCCAAACCGACACAGGUGGUCGGGUAGAGAAUACCAAGGCGCUUGAGAGAACUCGGGUGAAGGAACUAGGCAAAAUGGCACCGUAACUUCGGGAGAAGGUGCGCCGGCUAGGGUGAAGGAUUUACUCCGUAAGCUCUGGCUGGUCGAAGAUACCAGGCCGCUGCGACUGUUUAUUAAAAACACAGCACUCUGCAAACACGAAAGUGGACGUAUAGGGUGUGACGCCUGCCCGGUGCCGGAAGGUUAAUUGAUGGGGUUAGCGCAAGCGAAGCUCUUGAUCGAAGCCCCGGUAAACGGCGGCCGUAACGAUAACGGUCCUAAGGUAGCGAAAUUCCUUGUCGGGUAAGUUCCGACCUGCACGAAUGGCGUAACGAUGGCGGCGCUGUCUCCACCCGAGACUCAGUGAAAUUGAAAUCGCUGUGAAGAUGCAGUGUAUCCGCGGCUAGACGGAAAGACCCCGUGAACCUUUACUGUAGCUUUGCACUGGACUUUGAGCCUGCUUGUGUAGGAUAGGUGGGAGGCUUUGAAGCGUGGACGCCAGUUCGCGUGGAGCCAUCCUUGAAAUACCACCCUGGCAUGCUUGAGGUUCUAACUCUGGUCCGUAAUCCGGAUCGAGGACAGUGUAUGGUGGGCAGUUUGACUGGGGCGGUCUCCUCCUAAAGAGUAACGGAGGAGUACGAAGGUGCGCUCAGACCGGUCGGAAAUCGGUCGCAGAGUAUAAAGGCAAAAGCGCGCUUGACUGCGAGACAGACACGUCGAGCAGGUACGAAAGUAGGUCUUAGUGAUCCGGUGGUUCUGUAUGGAAGGGCCAUCGCUCAACGGAUAAAAGGUACUCCGGGGAUAACAGGCUGAUACCGCCCAAGAGUUCAUAUCGACGGCGGUGUUUGGCACCUCGAUGUCGGCUCAUCACAUCCUGGGGCUGAAGCCGGUCCCAAGGGUAUGGCUGUUCGCCAUUUAAAGUGGUACGCGAGCUGGGUUUAGAACGUCGUGAGACAGUUCGGUCCCUAUCUGCCGUGGACGUUUGAGAUUUGAGAGGGGCUGCUCCUAGUACGAGAGGACCGGAGUGGACGAACCUCUGGUGUUCCGGUUGUCACGCCAGUGGCAUUGCCGGGUAGCUAUGUUCGGAAAAGAUAACCGCUGAAAGCAUCUAAGCGGGAAACUUGCCUCAAGAUGAGAUCUCACUGGGAACUUGAUUCCCCUGAAGGGCCGUCGAAGACUACGACGUUGAUAGGCUGGGUGUGUAAGCGUUGUGAGGCGUUGAGCUAACCAGUACUAAUUGCCCGUGAGGCUUGACCG